CGUGCAGGCGGCCUAUUAAGUCAGAUGUGAAAGCCCUCGGCUCAACCAAGGAACUGCAUCUGAAACUGGUAGGCUUGAGUACGGGAGAGGAGAGUGGAAUUCCCGGUGUAGAGGUGAAAUUCGUAGAUAUCGGGAAGAACACCGGUGGCGAAGGCGGCUCUCUGGACCGAUACUGACGCUGAGACGCGAAAGCGUGGGGAGCAAACA
This 207-nucleotide ribosomal RNA is filed under the name uncultured bacterium. RNAcentral's name for it is "partial 16S ribosomal RNA". It matches the Rfam family "Bacterial small subunit ribosomal RNA", at positions 568 to 774 of the family's 1533-position model. The record is from RNAcentral.